AUAUAAGCACGGAACCUUGAUUAAAGCGUGUAACCAUGAUUAACAUGCCAAAAACUAUGGUUUACAUCUAUAUCUCAUUAUUAACCACCUUCCUUGUCCCAUUCCAAGCUCUGCCCCUGAGUACAGUGGCACCAGAUCAAAUAAGAAAAGUUGCAUGCAGAACAGAAAAUUCAGUUCUAAGCAAAUAUGGAUUGAAGCUAAUUGUCCAAUUAAAUUGACAUGUAAAAUAAUCUGUCUCUAAAAAUGAAGAUCUAAAAGUGAAGAUAGAAACAGACAUCUGCUAAAGUAAAGCCAGAUGCAAAGAACUAUAUAAUUAUCUAAAUAGAUGAAAAAGUGCAUCUCGCGCAACAUGGAAGAGAUGAAGAGAAAUUUUCCGUCAAAUUAUGUAUAUCUUGGUGAGUUAUCCAAGCAUUCCAUUCCAUUUGAUGGUCUGGACUCUGGGCAUGUCAUGUGGCGAAAGCGUAGUGCAGCACCAAGCUAGUGGAAACCAAAAAUACAGUUCACAUUGUUAACACUGUUUUUUUAGUCUUAAGUACAAACACAGGAUGCAUUCGCAUUGUUACCACGGUUAUCAUACAUUGCAUGGAUCUGUCAUAAUAUAGUUAUGAUGUUAUAUACGAUAUGUCUGUGCCUGUACCAAAUGUGGAAUACCAUUAAUCAUGGAUCCAACCAGCUUUUCCUCCCCUGCAACAAAUCUACUCAGAAAGGCAAAAUUAGUUGCUAAAACCAAAAUGCAACAGAAAUCCUUUUCUUAGGAAAAUAGAACAAUAGAUGUCUGCAAGGUAAUAACCCUGUAUAUUCCUAAUGGAAGAAAAUAGAAAGAAUGGUAACUAAAAGGACAACAUAUUAUACUAAGCAUGCUUCACAUACAUGAAGAGUGAAGUUGAUCCUCGAGGAAAAAUAAUUUGAUUUCACUGAAUGAGGGUUUCCUGAUAAUUUGCCAUCUAAAAGCACACUUCAGAUACAUUCCUUUAUAUCAGUGUGGACCAAUUUUUUUAGAGAUAAUUUUGCAUCCUCCACCUCCAAAGAAUACUAUACAUUGCCUAAGGAAAUCUUGGUUUGCGAGCAAGAGAGAUAAUUUAGGAUGAAUUAUGUUGAGAAAUUUGAUAAGUUAGCUGCUGCAGUCAUCGAAUCUUCAGGAACAAGACAUACCAGGUGAUUUAUAGAAUGACUGUCUGUGAAUACAUACUGGCUCAUUGUAAAUAAAAGCUAAUACUGAUCAGGGCAAAACAGAACAAUCUCCAUUUGCAAAUGCUUAUACAAGACUGACAAAAGGAUGGACAUAUUUGGUUGUUUCUAACAUUUUGUUGCUGAAAAAAUCAAACCGUUUCCCACCGUACUGUGCUUGUCCAACUACUGAAGCCUGAAGCCCCGUCUGAAUUCUGAAAUGCGGAAAAUGUUUCAUUGUUCCCGAAGAAAUUGAAUAUCAGAGUUCUGACGGAUUUUGAUAGAACUCAUUGUUCCAGUGUUGAAGCUGAUCUGUUCAUGAGUUAAUCGAUCUAACUAUCAUGAUUUCAUAUACAUAAACUGAUAAACACUUCAAUCGGCCUUAAGCAAAACUGUUUCCUUUCAAGAACACUUGCACGCGGACAACUACCGACCAACUCCAAGAACUGAGCGGCAAAUCUUGCACGGCAGAGUAAAGAAGUACUUACCGCACCAGUGCAGGCUGCAGCAAGCACCAUGGCUGCCCCAGGCCCGCAGGAGCAGGGCCGCCGGCCGCGCCCGCUUCCCACUUCGCCGUCACGGCGUGUGUGCGCGUCAGUCCCUCACGGAGGAGAGGAGCUCUGGAUCCCGCCGGGCGCCAUGG
RNAcentral lists this long non-coding RNA (1810 nucleotides) under Sorghum bicolor (sorghum). RNAcentral's name for it is "long non-coding RNA (SBIC_LNC015588)". Lineage: Eukaryota; Viridiplantae; Streptophyta; Magnoliopsida; Poales; Poaceae. The record is from RNAcentral.